This 496-nucleotide ribosomal RNA is filed under the name uncultured bacterium. RNAcentral describes it as "partial 16S ribosomal RNA". It matches the Rfam family "Bacterial small subunit ribosomal RNA", at positions 29 to 507 of the family's 1533-position model. The record is from RNAcentral.
AUGAACGCUGGCGGCGUGCCUAAUACAUGCAAGUCGAGCGAACAGACGAGGAGCUUGCUCCUCUGACGUUAGCGGCGGACGGGUGAGUAACACGUGGAUAACCUACCUAUAAGACUGGGAUAACUUCGGGAAACCGGAGCUAAUACCGGAUAAUAUAUUGAACCGCAUGGUUCAAUAGUGAAAGACGGUUUUGCUGUCACUUAUAGAUGGAUCCGCGCCGCAUUAGCUAGUUGGUAAGGUAACGGCUUACCAAGGCAACGAUGCGUAGCCGACCUGAGAGGGUGAUCGGCCACACUGGAACUGAGACACGGUCCAGACUCCUACGGGAGGCAGCAGUAGGGAAUCUUCCGCAAUGGGCGAAAGCUUGACGGAGCAACGCCGCGUGAGUGAUGAAGGUCUUCGGAUCGUAAAACUCUGUUAUUAGGGAAAAACAAAUGUGUAAGUAACUAUGCACGUCUUGACGGUACCUAAUCAGAAAGCCACGGCUAACUACGUG